CAGAGGGUGCAAACGUUGCUCGGAAUCAUUGGGCGUAAAGCGCACGUAGGCGGCCUAGCAAGUAGGGAGUGAAAGCCCUCGGCUUAACCGAGGAAGUGCUUUCUAAACUACUAGGCUUGAAUACUGGAGAGGGUCGCGGAAUUCCCGGCGUAGAGGUGAAAUUCGUAGAUAUCGGGAGGAACACCAGUGGCGAAGGCGGCGACCUGGACAGAUAUUGACGCUGAGGUGCGAAAGCGUGGGGGAGCAAACAGGAUUAGAUACCCUGGUAGUCCACGCCGUAAACGAUGAGUGCUAGAUGUCGGGGGUAUUGACCCCUCCGGCGUCGAAGUUAACGCAUUAAGCACUCCGCCUGGGGAGUACGGCCGCAAGGCUA
This 373-nucleotide ribosomal RNA is filed under the name uncultured organism. RNAcentral describes it as "bacterial SSU rRNA". It matches the Rfam family "Bacterial small subunit ribosomal RNA", at positions 526 to 896 of the family's 1533-position model. The record is from RNAcentral.